GUCUACGGCCAUGCCACCCUGAAUGAACCCAAUCUCGUCUGAUCUCGGAAACUAAGCAGGAUCAGGCCUGGUUAGCACUUGGAUGGAAGACCACCUAGGAAUACUAGGUGCUGUAGGCA
RNAcentral lists this ribosomal RNA (119 nucleotides) under Pteropus alecto (black flying fox). The record is from RNAcentral. Lineage: Eukaryota; Metazoa; Chordata; Mammalia; Chiroptera; Pteropodidae.